AUUCUGGAAAUACAGAUUAAAAGGGAAUCGGGUGUAAAUCCCGGACAGUCCCGCUGCUGUGAAGCUCUAAUAACAUUCUGAAAACAACUUAUGCCACUGACAUGUGUCGGGAAGGCUUCAGGAUGGGAGUCAGUCAGAAGACCUGCCGUUCGUUAAA
RNAcentral lists this non-coding RNA (157 nucleotides) under Parabacteroides goldsteinii. Lineage: Bacteria; Pseudomonadati; Bacteroidota; Bacteroidia; Bacteroidales; Tannerellaceae. The record is from RNAcentral.